GAGAUUUACCAGGAUGUUGCCUGGAUUGGAGAACAAGUCAUAUGAAGCAAGGUUAGCAGAGCUGGGACAUUUCUCUUUGCAGCGUAGAAGAAUGAGAAGGGACUUGAUAGAGGUCUACAAGAUUAUGAGAGGCAUAGAUAGGGUGGAUAGUCAGUACCUGUUUCCCAGGACACCAAUAGCAAACACCAGAGGGCAUAGGUACAAAAUUAAGGAAGGGAAGUUUAGGGGAGACAUCAGGGGUAAGUUUUUUUACACAGAGGGUUGUGAGUGCCUAGAAUGACUUGCCAGGGAUGGUGGUGGAGGCUGAAACAUUAGGGGUAUUUAAGAGCCUCUUAGACAGGCACAUGGAUGAAAAAAAAAUGGAAGGUUAUGAGGUAGUAUGGGUUUAGUACUUUUUUUUAAGGAUUAUAUUGGUCAGCACAACAUGGAGGGCUGAAGGGCCUGUACUGUGCUGUAGUGUUCUAUGAUUCUAUGGUUUAAAUAUUGAAAGAUCAUUUUUUACUUAGUGCCCUAGUGUCUCUGUAGCUACUCUCAAUAGCGUCUUUAAUUCUCAAAAACCUCCAAAUCAGUUCCAUUGUCAUUGUAAGUUUAUUGUUACAGUAUGUGUAAUGAUCGAAUUUAAUAAACAACCUACCUUAAAUAUUCUGAGGGUCCAGCUUUGUUAAUUGACUUCCAAAAAGUCUGACACCUCAAGGUUCAGGAACAUCUAAUUCCCUACAACUAUCAGGAUCUUGGAACUACCCAGAUAAUCCUAAUCCUAGCUCAACCAACAAAACACCACAGACCACUUUUUUUGUCUACCAUGUGUUCAUCUCUGAUUGUGUUUAUUGGACUAAUGCCUUGUUUGCUACUGUCUUUUUCUUCACUAGUUUGGCCUCCAAGAGGACCACAACCUUGUCGUAGGGUUUGGAGGCUUGCAUUCCUCAAUGAUGUGGACAGCUAAGUUGUCUGGAGUCAUGGCCUUGUGCUUUGUCUUUUGGUAGGGUUACCCAUGUCAAACAGGUCAAAGGGUGGAGGCCAGACUAAGAGUGGUCCACUGGUCCUCCAGACAGAGGUGGAGGACCUUCACUGCUGCCCUAAACAAAUGAGGCUACAGUGAUUGAGAAAAAGCUAAUAGGUUUGAAUACUAUUACAUCAGAGAAGUGACCAUGUUUAGAAGCCAGUGGACAGCUCUAACCACGUGGGUGAAGCAUGUUUGAACUGAAUGAGGACACAAGCAGCAGAACUACCUCGCAGCUAAACAGUGAGGUGGCACGACUAUUCAGAAAUCAGAUGGCGGAGGGGCAAGAAACGGUUUCUGAAUUGAGUGUGGAUCUUCAAGCUCCUGUAUCUCCUCGCUAAUGGCAGUAAUGGGAAGAGAUGUUGCAGAUGGGUGGCGAAAGGUUCUGUUGGAGUCCAUGAUCUACAGCUGCACUCAAACUGCAGAUCUUCACAGCCGUGAGAUUCCACUCCCAGAGUUCACCAUCUUGAAAAAUCCAGGAAUGGUCUGGAAGACUCGUGCCUCAGGGUGUGGCCUUGCUUGCCCCCAUGGGCUCGAUUCUCUCUAUCAGACUGUAUCAUCGUAACUGCAAGCUGUUUGUUGAUCCCACACUUGCUGUGGAAGGGAUAACUCCUCUCUCCCCCUUGUUAGUGAAGGCGAGUGUGCAUGGCAUGUUGAAGUGCUGGGUUUUGGACUGUAGUUUUUGAUGGCCUCUUUGGAGGCUUUGUGUGGUGG
Hypanus sabinus (Atlantic stingray) is the source of this 1714-nucleotide long non-coding RNA. RefSeq lists it as uncharacterized. The record is from RefSeq and is a predicted model, not a curated record. NCBI's taxonomy places the organism in Eukaryota, Metazoa, Chordata, Chondrichthyes, Myliobatiformes, Dasyatidae. The transcript has 4 exons.